AAGUAAGAUCCCUGAAAGAUGAUCAGGUAGAUAGGUUUGGAGUGGAAGUGUAGCGAUACAUGGAGCGGACAAAUACUAAUCGAUCGAGGACUUAACCAA
RNAcentral lists this ribosomal RNA (99 nucleotides) under Listeria monocytogenes. Its description in RNAcentral is "partial 23S ribosomal RNA". It matches the Rfam family "Bacterial large subunit ribosomal RNA", at positions 2826 to 2925 of the family's 2925-position model. The record is from RNAcentral. Lineage: Bacteria; Bacillati; Bacillota; Bacilli; Caryophanales; Listeriaceae.